Gadus morhua (Atlantic cod) is the source of this 880-nucleotide long non-coding RNA. RefSeq lists it as uncharacterized. Lineage: Eukaryota; Metazoa; Chordata; Actinopteri; Gadiformes; Gadidae. The transcript has 5 exons. The record is from RefSeq and is a predicted model, not a curated record.
CUUGUAAUAAUACUGAAGUUCACUGUUAACAUAUUGUCCUCCAGGUUGGAGAAUGUAUGGAAUGCCAGGCCAGUGCGUCAACAAUAAAGCAGGGGACAGAGUUCAUCCCCAUACAAGUGAGCCAACCCUUUGAACUUGUGGGGAUGGACAUGAUUGGCAAAGUGGCCGAGACAGAGGCAGGGAAUACAUAUAUCUUAGUAAUGGUGGAUUACUUCACCAAGUGGCCUGAGGCUUUUGCCCUACCAUCCAAAACAGCUGCAAAUGUGGCAGACUGUAUCAUUAGGUUCUUUUACCGUUUUGGGGCCCCAAAAAGAUCCUAACUGACCAGGGACGAGAGUUCGUUAAUGAGCUAAACAAAGAGGUGUGCAAAGGUCUGGGGAUUGAGCGCAGCCUUUGUGCGCCAUAUCAUCCACAAACAAAUGGGCUUGUGGAAAAGUUAAACGGGACAAUACAGAGGGCACUGUGCAAACUUGUCAACCAACGUCCAGAGAGUUGGGACAAAUAUCUGGAUGCUGUGAUGUUUGGGCUGAGGACCAAAAAACAGAUGACGACAAAGUUCUCCCCAUUCUUCCUCCUGUUUGGGACAGAGGCCCGCCUCCCGAGUGAGGUUCCGGAGGAUUACAAGAUUGACACAGGCAUGGAGAAUGUCCUUGACCAGGAGGUGGUGUCGGAGGCCAUUAAAAGGCAGGAUGCAAGUCUAGUGCGGGAAAACAUAGCCACAGCCCAAAACAAAUAUAAAUUGCCCAAAUCACCAAAACAGGCAUGUUUUCAGGUGGGGGACAUGGUGCUGCGCAAAAAUAUUCGCAGUCAGCAAAGGAAAGGUGGGAAGAUGGACAAAAACUGGCUUGGUCCCUUUACGGUAGUUGCUAUCACUAAAAAG